GCCAUGGCGGGGGAGUGUGUUCACACUCGAGAGGCCUUGAGCGCAGUGCAGUUGCGCAAGUCGAACCCGGUUUGGAGUGCAGAGCAAAAAUAGCCGCUCGCUUUGCUAAAGACGCCCACUCCUUCCGCCGGCGCGUCCGUGGGCGAGCGAGGAGAGCGAGCCGGUGACGGAACGGGCCGAAGAACACGUGACGAACACAGCAGGCUCGCGUCACCCUGCGGUCAUUCGCAUUUCGACAUCCUCUUGUUCCAACGAGGACGUGGGCAGGUUCACGGUAAACACUUGACUGCGAAGAAAAGCACUUAAUGCCAGAAUAACUGAAUUACAGAACCAUUUACUGUCAAAUCUGAGUGUGUGACCUCGAUGGGGGCAGCAGGGGGCGCAACGGUCAGAGCUGUCAGCUUUCGAUCGCGGGUCCGAGGUCCGAAUCCCAUCCGGCUGCAGUGCCCUUGAUGGAGGCACCCAUCUCUAUAAAUGGGGUCACGAUGGUCCAGAGUCUAUCCUGGAAACACAAGGUACACACACACACACACACUUCACCUGAAACAAACAUCUUUGGACUGUGGGAGGAAACCAGAGCACCCGAAGGAGAUCCACACAAACGCAGGGAGAACAUUCAGACUCGACACCGAGCUCAAGUCAAACCCACGUCCGAGCCGUAGUUCGGGAGCUUAGAGGCACCAGCGCUACCCCGAGAUGCCCGUAAAGGGACUCGAACCUGGAGCCUCUACCCACCGAGCAGCACUUCUACUGCUACGCAUUCAAGCAGCAGUCUGUGAACACGGUAAAGGUAAAAAGAGGUAAAUCCCCAUGUCCUUUGGAUAAAAACACCAGCUAAGCAACAGAAUAACACAUGUACCCAGAGUCCGGUGCAAUUAACUGAAUUCAUAAUUGUCCUCAUAACCUAUUUCCGCUCGCUUUUCUAUGGAGGGGGUGGGGUUCGGACUUAGAUUCCAUCAGGCUCCGGAAAGGGUACGAAGCCCAGAAAAGGCCCAGAAUCUCUCCUGCCUGCAGUUCCCAUCAUGACCAGUGGGGGGCGCGACAAACACUUUCACUUUCACAAAACGUGGCCUGUAACAGCUGGCAGAAAAAAGGGUUUUUC
This 1102-nucleotide long non-coding RNA is filed under the name Scleropages formosus (Asian bonytongue). Its description in RNAcentral is "lncRNA (ENSSFOG00015032582.1)". Lineage: Eukaryota; Metazoa; Chordata; Actinopteri; Osteoglossiformes; Osteoglossidae. The record is from RNAcentral.